This is a non-coding RNA of Xylaria arbuscula, 103 nucleotides long. The record is from the annotation of a GenBank genome assembly. Lineage: Eukaryota; Fungi; Ascomycota; Sordariomycetes; Xylariales; Xylariaceae.
GUCUUCGUGGCUCAGUUGGUUAGAGCGUUGGUCUCAUAUUCUAUAUGAUUCGAUCUAAGAUCGGGCCAUCCAAAGGUCGUGAGUUCGAGCCUCACCGAGGACA